This 497-nucleotide ribosomal RNA is filed under the name uncultured bacterium. RNAcentral's name for it is "partial 16S ribosomal RNA". It matches the Rfam family "Bacterial small subunit ribosomal RNA", at positions 28 to 507 of the family's 1533-position model. The record is from RNAcentral.
GAUGAACGCUGGCGGCGUGCCUAAUACAUGCAAGUCGAGCGAACAGACGAGGAGCUUGCUCCUCUGACGUUAGCGGCGGACGGGUGAGUAACACGUGGAUAACCUACCUAUAAGACUGGGAUAACUUCGGGAAACCGGAGCUAAUACCGGAUAAUAUAUUGAACCGCAUGGUUCAAUAGUGAAAGACGGUUUUGCUGUCACUUAUAGAUGGAUCCGCGCCGCAUUAGCUAGUUGGUAAGGUAACGGCUUACCAAGGCGACGAUGCGUAGCCGACCUGAGAGGGUGAUCGGCCACACUGGAACUGAGACACGGUCCAGACUCCUACGGGAGGCAGCAGUAGGGAAUCUUCCGCAAUGGGCGAAAGCCUGACGGAGCAACGCCGCGUGAGUGAUGAAGGUCUUCGGAUCGUAAAACUCUGUUAUUAGGGAAGAACAAAUGUGUACGUAACUAUGCACGUCUUGACGGUACCUAAUCAGAAAGCCACGGCUAACUACGUG